This is a long non-coding RNA of Melopsittacus undulatus (budgerigar), 3461 nucleotides long. RefSeq lists it as uncharacterized. Lineage: Eukaryota; Metazoa; Chordata; Aves; Psittaciformes; Psittaculidae. The record is from RefSeq and is a predicted model, not a curated record. The transcript has 2 exons.
GCCUGCGGCCCGCGGGAGCCCCCCGCCGGCGUGGCUGGGCGCGGAGCGCCGCUGCCCCGCUUUCCAUCCGGGGCAGGAGGAAGCUGUCCAGAAAAGCUGCUGUAGUACAUCUAACGUGAUCACUGUGUGAACAUGCCCUUUCCAUUCUCUCCAACUAGCCUAGAUGGGAAGACAACAGCAGGUGACACCAGGUACCAAACACUGGCACUAGCAGCUGAGUAAGUGGGUUGCCGCUGGCAGGGGCAGCUCACCAUAAGACUGGUACCAAUGCUUUGAGAUUCGGAGGGGUCACAAGCAUUGCGCAGCUGCUUGAUGGGUGUUACUGUAAAAUGAGAAAUCUGAUUGUAUGCUGAAUUCAGGUAUAACAAUACAGUGUAAGGAAACUGCUCUGUCUAGGGAAGAGUGAUAGCUGAACUGCUUUUUUUUUUGUAUGGUCUUGCACAAAUUUUAAACAUGGAAAUUAGGGAGCAGCAUAGAUAGUUGGGCUUUUUUUCCCCACCUAUUUAACAAUUCUUACAAUCUUGCGAUAUUGCCACCUAUGGAUGAAACCUUGGAAUGCUGCUUCAGCAACAAAAAAAUCACUACCAAGUCUUUACAGUGUCUCCUUCACUGAAAUGUUGUUACUCAUUCCAGAAAGUCAAAACACUGUUAAAAUCAUUUCAGUGCCUUUUUGAAGUGUCAGUGUUUGAUGGAGAGUGUGUUCACCACAAUGCAAUAGAAUUAGUAAUCGCAUUCUGCAAUUUCUGUAAGUUUUCCAAAAUAGAAUUUUAUAGACUUGGUUCUGGGUUUGCAGGUCUUUCAGAUUUUUUUGUUCCCCAGUCUUACUGCUCUUGGACUGCACUAAUUCAGUGCUUCCCUCAUAGCAUCUUAAGAGAUAUGUAAAAUACUGAAAGCCUUCCUACUAGGAGUAACAGCCAGAUCUCAUCCCAGCGCCUACCACAGUUGAAAAAUAUUUUCCCCUGAAGGAUCUAUCUUCUGGCAACUCUUACAUACAUGUAUCUAAGCUUUUAAAGAAGAAAAGCCAUGUUAAAAUAAAAAAGUCUUCAUGUUACCAUAGGAAAUUCAUCUAGAUGUCAGAGAACAAAGGGAAAAUACUACUUGUGCAGUACUGCCAAUACAGGACGUAUUUUUUUAGCCAUUGUAGGAACAAGCAAAUGAGAGACUUAAUGUCUCUCUUCCUGUGAAUUCAUGCAUAAUUGGGAAAGAAAAAAAAAAGCAAGCAUCCUUCAACAUCCCAGAGAAAAAAUCUCCAGCCCUUGUAGCAAAUAAUUUUAAUUUUCUAGGUUUUAACUGCCUGCUUUCUUAAAGCAAUUAUGUAAGAAGCACAGAAUGGAUAUGGGAACAGUAUGAUGGCAAUAUUAAAGUUUAUCUGAAUAAAAAUUUAGGAUUUUGAUUAUUUGAGCAACUCUUAGAAGCCACGUUUACAAUUUCUGUGACUGUCAAAACAAAUUGUUAUUCUCCCAGUCUGUUAAAAACUGGGCUGUGCUUAAUAUGGAUUUCUGUAUUCAGUGCUAGAGAACAACAUUAAUUAUGCUCCUUGUUACAAGCUUCAGAAAACAAAAAUGGGGCUUCUGAGGGCUCUUUAGGUUAUUCCAUUGUCAAUAACAUGGGCUAGCCAGUUCUCCAGCUAUAACUUUGGUAUUUCAGAGCUUUGCUAGUCACAGCACCAAGCCUAUCAAGGUUCAAGGACCAUUUGCAUGACACUCUCAGUCAUGCAGUUUAGUCUUCGGUAGUCCUGUGAGGACUUGAUGUCCGUACGUGUCCCUUCCAACUUGAGAUAUUCUAUGAUUCUAUCUUGCACAGAGAAAGAACAUUCCAACGAGGAUAGCAAUACAGAGAACUGAAAUACAGAACGUUUGUAAGACCCUUCAAACUUUAUUCUGCCAAUUAAAUUCAGCACAGCAGUCACAUGAGAUCAAUGACAAAUGCUGAACAGCACACCUCAUGAAUGUACACAUCUGCAUGGGACACUGCAGAUGAGCUGUUCAGCUGCUGAAUCUAACUGUUUAAACGAAACCUAUUUUGUGGCCUUCUGAAGCAACUUCUCUCCCCUUUGCUUAACCAGUACUUCCUCAAAAUAAAUUUUAACUGCUUUUGUUGCUUUCUGUUCAGGCAUGUUGCAUGUAGAGGGUGCUAUAUAAAAUCAAGUUACACACAUUAUCACCCAUGUGAUUCCCAUAAGGAAUUUUUCCCCUUUGUGUCAUACCAUCAGGUGAUGUGGCCCUAUGGAAUUAUUCAGACUUUCAUCCAGCAGAGCAGUUUCUGUACUUUAUUUUGAAAGUCUCUCAAUAACUGAUUUAAAACAAGUGAACAAAUUAAAAGUAAAGUGUUCUUUAUUAAAUAACUCAAAGGGUAAAGCAAACUGUGUGAUUAAGAAAGACACAUCAAACUUCCAAAGGAUUUUUACAGCAGAAAACAAACUGUGGCAAAUGAACAUUUCAGUCUAGCAGCCAAACUGUCCUCAUUUUUAUGGAGUUAAUUCCGGUCCUCAAACUGUGACUUGUUUUUUAAAAGAUAUGCUGCUAGAAAUUCAAUGGGAUUUGGUGGUCUGCAAAGAAGAAAAUAAAUAAAAUGUUACUAAUUUUUUUUAGAUUAAAUUAAAUAGCUGAAGAACUAAUUACCUUCCCUUUAAAAGCAACAUAACUCCUCCCAGACACAAACAUUGACAUAGGGAUGACCAGCUCCCUAUAUUUACCCUGUAAACUUCCAGUUUAUAUUUGAGGAGACAGUUUUUAAUAAGGAGUCUUAGUCACUGCUGGUUCAGUGUUUGCGACUUGCUAGAACAGCCACAUACCUAGAACUAGGGUACAGUCUAUAAGUGUACAUGCUGCAUGCACACCAUUGCAAGUUACACACAUUUGCCUAUUUCUGUAACUUGUGUUACAUAAAGUGAGAGUUAAUCUGUCAGUGAUUUCUUGCGUCAUUUUCUUCAAAUGGUUAUUGCAUAGCUUUGUGCCUUAGAGAUGUUUUCUCAGUGCUGUAACUUGCAAGAGGUCAAUAACAAACACUUUUGAUUGCUGGCCUUUGCCUGCAAGUUUUUUUAAGAGUUCUUCCAGCUACAAUGCAUGAAUCCUGAUAAUCUGGAUCCUGUCCACAGAAUAAAUUUACUUAUUCCACACUGAGUCAGGCCAAAGGCCUUGCAGUGAGCAAAUAGCCUGUAAAGAGCAUUAAAAAAGGGGGCGAGGGCACACAUGUAUUUCUGCAUAUCAUCCUUUUGGCCUCCAACCAUGUAGCAAGUGUUAGCACCUAUAAUAGUCCAGGUGGAUUCCUCUACAACUUUGUCCAGUUAGCCCUUGACCCCAAAUAAAAUGUUAAUGUCCUCAACUUAAGGCAAAAAAUUGUAUAGUUUAAUUAUGUGAGCUGUGAAAGAUCACCUCCUUGUUCAUUAUGAAUUUGCUACCUGUUUUAUUUAACUGGAUUGCUGUAUCAGAAGAGAUAAUAAACAAUCCAUUCCAACUCGU